Molecule: transfer RNA, 73 nt
Filed under: Rhodothermales bacterium
Lineage: Bacteria; Pseudomonadati; Rhodothermota; Rhodothermia; Rhodothermales
Description: tRNA-Arg
Rfam family: tRNA
About the family: Transfer RNA (tRNA) molecules are approximately 80 nucleotides in length. Their secondary structure includes four short double-helical elements and three loops (D, anti-codon, and T loops).
Source: RNAcentral
GGCCUCGUAGCUCAGAGGAUAGAGCGUCGGUUUCCUAAACCGUGCGUCGCAGGUUCGAUUCCUGCCGAGGCCA